AUGGUGGAAGAGCCGGAGGCUCUGUGUAAGAAUAAGACAUGGGUAUUAAUACCCCUUCCAACAGGAAAGAAAGCAGUCAGCUGCAAGUGGGUAUACAUAGUGUACACUGUGAAGCAAAAUGCAGAAGGAAAGGUUGAGAGGUACAAAGAAAGGCUUGUGGCGAGGGGUUACAGCCAAACAUACGACAUUUACUACGAUGAGACCUUUGCUCCAGUAGCAAAGGUGAACACCGUGAGGAUUCUGCUCUCCUGUGCAGCAAAUUUCGAGUGGCUUUUACACCAACUUGAUGUGAAGAAUGUCUUCUUGCAUGCGGACUUGUAG
This 321-nucleotide ribosomal RNA is filed under the name Triticum aestivum (bread wheat). RNAcentral describes it as "partial small subunit ribosomal RNA". Lineage: Eukaryota; Viridiplantae; Streptophyta; Magnoliopsida; Poales; Poaceae. The record is from RNAcentral.